Molecule: ribosomal RNA, 253 nt
Filed under: uncultured bacterium
Lineage: Bacteria
Description: partial 16S ribosomal RNA
Rfam family: Bacterial small subunit ribosomal RNA
Source: RNAcentral
GACGUAGGGCGCAAGCGUUGUCCGGAUUUAUUGGGCGUAAAGAGCUCGUAGGCGGCUUGCCACGUCUGCCGUGAAAACCAGCAGCUUAACUGUUGGCUUGCGGUUGAUACGGGUUGGCUGGAGUUCGGUAGGGGAGACUGGAAUUCCUGGUGUAGCGGUGAAAUACGUAGAGAUGUGGAGGAACACCAGUGGCGAAGGCGACUCUUUGGCCUGUAACUGACGCUGAGGCGCGAAAGCGUGGGGAGCAAACAGG